AUAGACGUUAAAUAAGCAGGGUGAUAGAAGUUAAAUAAGCAGGGUGACAAUAUACAGGCUUGGCGUACUCCUUUUCUGAUUCUGAUUGUAAAUGUUAAUCAUAUCCACAAACACCUUCACAGCAACAUCUAGGCUGGUGUUUGACCAAACAGCUGGGCACCGUAACCCAGCCAAGCUAACGUAUAAAACCAACCAUCACAAGGCUGGUGCAGAACCCACAGCUCCAAGGGCCUUCUCGACCCAUCAGAGCCACGUGGGGCUCCUGGGCCUGGAGAGCAGCUGUGCGGGGCCUGAUGGGAGCAGUACGCUGGCCUCCCUGAGGAUCGCCUGGGCAGCAUGGGGUGGGUUGGGGGAGGGUCUUCCUUCCCCUGCCCUGGCCGUGUGUCCGUCCCACAUGGGGUGGGGUCCCCCUGAGCACAUGCAGCAGGGGGCAAAGGUGGGCCCCCGGGCCCUGAUCCACGCCCAGGGAGCAGCCCACGACGGCAGCUGAACUCCUAGAAGGUGAUACAGCCCUCCCGCCUCCCCUGCUGACUGUUCCAGCAUCUGAGCGUAAAGACGUUCUCCAAAUAACCCGACGCCAUCCUCCGCCCUGAGACGCGCGUCCACACCGACAGCUGCCUUCAGCGUCUGUGGACUCGGGCCGUUCGCAGUUUGGGGCUGUUUCAGUGCUGCGGUCAGAAUGCUCCAGCCCGCGCCCUUCUUCACACGGAUGCACACACUCUGCUGCGUGUGUGCAACUGUGGGGUUUGGGGCAUACAGAUUUUUUUUUUUUCACUUUAGAUUAGAUUGCAGUGUUUGACCAUCGGCAGCUGUCACAGACCAGCACGGACUCUGACUUCUCCCCCACAGUGGGCAGGUGCAGCCUCGCUGAGCUGGCUCUGAGGGGUCCCCCUGGACACGGGGCUGGCCUCUCCCUCCUUGCCCCCCACCCCGACCCUCUGCUCUUUGUAUCUGUGGCCAGUGGCCUGGAGUUCCACAGCACUGCCCUUCAGGGGCUGGCUCCCGGAUCUCUGCCUCAGUUCUCCCAUCUGUAAAAUAAGAUGGAAAAUGGCACUUAGCGACUAAGUGGGUUUUGUUUUUUUUUUUAAGACAUCAAGGUUUAAAAUGUUUUUGUAUUCAUAAAACCUUAUUAAUGUAGUUUAUAUGACUUAACCUUAUAUUAAGUGUAAUACAGGCUUUUGCAAACAUGAAAGAGGGACAAACGUGGAAAAAUAAAUGGAUUUAUAAAUCCUAAUUCUAGAACUCAGAGAAGCCAGCAUUUUAAAAACAAUGUUCUGAAGACUUCCCUGGCAGUCCAGCGAUUAGGACUCACCAGUUUUCACUGCCGGGACCCGGGUUCAGUCCCUGGUCAGGGAACCUAAGAUCCCACAAGCCGUGAGGCACGACAAAGUACAAAUAAAUAAAUAAAAAAGC
Molecule: long non-coding RNA, 1413 nt
Organism: Bubalus bubalis (water buffalo)
Lineage: Eukaryota; Metazoa; Chordata; Mammalia; Artiodactyla; Bovidae
Exons: 2
Source: RefSeq, a predicted model, not a curated record